GAUGAACGCUGGCGGCGUGCUUAACACAUGCAAGUCGAACGGAAAGGCGCUGCUUGCUGGUUACUCGAGCGGCGGACGGGUGAGUAAUACGUAGGAGUUCUGCUCUUUGCGUUGGGUUACGCCUGGGAAACGGGGCCUAUUACCCAAUAUUACAGUUGUUGAGAUGCGAGGGUGGUAAGCCUUUGCGGUAUGGGAUGAGCCUGGGGCCUAUCAGCUUGUUGGUGGGGUAAUGGCCUACCAAGGCGACGACGGGUAGCCGGCCUGAGAGGGUGUACGGCCAGAUUGGGACUGAGAGAGGGCCCAGACUCCUAAGGGAGGCAGCAGUGGGGAAUAUUGCACACUGCGCGCAAGCCUGAGGCAGCAAGGCCGCGUGAGGGAUGACGGCCUUAGGGUGGUAGAAUCCGUUGGCAGCCGACGAAGCCUUUUGGUGACGGUAGGUUGAGAAGAAGCACCGGCUAACUACGUG
Molecule: ribosomal RNA, 466 nt
Filed under: uncultured bacterium
Lineage: Bacteria
Description: partial 16S ribosomal RNA
Rfam family: Bacterial small subunit ribosomal RNA
Source: RNAcentral